GCCCAGAUGGCGAAAUUGGUAGACGCGCUCGUUUCAGGUGCGAGUGCCGCGAGGCUUGCAGGUUCGAGUCCUGUUCUGGGCA
RNAcentral lists this transfer RNA (82 nucleotides) under Tidjanibacter sp. RNAcentral describes it as "tRNA-Leu". It matches the Rfam family "tRNA". Rfam says of the family: Transfer RNA (tRNA) molecules are approximately 80 nucleotides in length. Their secondary structure includes four short double-helical elements and three loops (D, anti-codon, and T loops). The record is from RNAcentral. Lineage: Bacteria; Pseudomonadati; Bacteroidota; Bacteroidia; Bacteroidales; Rikenellaceae.